UACCGCAAAGAGGAAAAGAAACAAGAUGACCGACAAAAAGAACUCCAACGGAAGCUGCUGCAGCUGCAGCUGGAGGAACUGAAAAAGAAAAAGACAAGCCAAAGAAAAUAGCACCAGUGAUGGCAGAUUUCAUGUUUGAAGAAAUGCUGCCGCCUAUGCCCCGGAACCAGGGAAAGGGGGGUGGAGAUGGACCCGUGUCCAGCGUCAUCUACAACAUUUUAGGAAUGCCUCCUGCAUUUUUACAGGGGCAGCCCUCAGGGGGUCUAAAUUGGGGACGGCAGCAGGCCCAGGGGGUACGGCCCUACCAGCUGGGACAAGGAGCUAAUAAAGGGAAUCAAGGCAACAAGAACCAGAACCAGAACCAGGGACAAAGAGGGGCAGGCCAGGGAGGGCCACCAGUGUGUUGGGGCUGCAACCAGCCAGGACACACCAGAAGAAACUCCCCAACAAAUCCCUGGGAAGAACAAAAUCAAGGAGGAGCCCCACAACAAGGGAGUGGAGGAGGUCCGAUGAAUUAUCAAGGCACACAAUAGGGGUGCCCAGAGAACCUGAAGGAGGUAGGACUUGUGCUCAGCCUUCUUCAGUGUACCCCUGGACCCCAAGAGUCAGGAAGUAUUUACAUUCCAGUAUGGAGGAAAAGAAGAAGGAGGGAAGAGCACGAGCUAUAGAGCUCCAGUUCAAGAGCACCAGUUGCAGCCAAGAGACCAAGUCUACGUGCGGAAGUUCCAAAGAAAGUGGAAUGAGCCAAGGAGAGAAGGACCCUUCAAGAUCACAAAGACCACACCCACGGCAGUACAGGUGGAAGGAAGCAGUGUUAGGUAUCAUCUGAAUCAUUGCACUAAGGUUGUGCCAGAGGUAAACGAUGGGGGGGGGUCAGAGAAAUUGUAGGAAACACUGAAAGAGAGCAGUCAGGAGAGCGGGAGGAUCCUGGUGAAGGAACCUCAGCUCAAGGUAGAGAGCAGUCAGGAGAGCGAGAGGAUCCUGGUGAAGGAACCUCAGCUCAAGGUAGAGAGCAGUCAGGAGAGCGAGAGGAUCCUGGUGAAGGAACCUCAGCUCAAGGUAGAGAGCAGUCAGGAGAACGAGAGGAUCCUGGUGAAGGAACCUCAGCUCAAGGUAGAGAGCAGUCAGGAGAGCGGGAGGAUCCUGGUGAAGGAACCUCAGCUCAAGGUAGAGAGCAGUCAGGAGAACGAGAGGAUCCUGGUGAAGAAACCCCUGACAGAGGUGCAAGUGGAGCAGAAGGAGGAGAAGCAAUCUCACCAGCACGAUUUGUUACCGAUGUCCAAGACCUCAUCCAUGGUCUUGGCACCAUCAAUUGGGCCAACUAUUGGUAAAGUAAAAGACAGGGAGAAGAUAAAGAGCGAUUUCUACAGUAAUAUUGUGAUAGAAGACUAUGAACAGAGUGAAGAUGAGAAACAGAUCUUAUGGUACAUCGCUAGUAAUAAUCCGUGGUACUGAUGGGCUAAUUAUACCCAAGCCAAAAAUAACCUGGAUAAAGUAAAUAGGAAGGCAGGUUUCUUUAUAUCAUUAAUAAUUUUCUGACUAGUCAAAUAACUAAUCCAGUUAGCCUCCAGCUAGAGUGAGUGAGCAGCAGACAUUUUUGACAGUUGAAAAUGGAUACAUUUCUACAGCAGAAUAGUGGGCGGAGCUUGUGUAACCUAGCAAUCGGCUACCCUGAAGAAGUCAGCAGUGAAACAGGGCAAAAGAAGCACAAAGCUAGGCUACUGAAAGAGACUCCAGAGACGCUCAGAGCAGAGUUUACUGUGCUGAAUGAGAGAGGUGAAAUCAGACCUGCUGUUCUACACAGAGCACCCAGAAGCCUGGCAUUCUGCUCUCCGUGCAGAUGAUAAAAACAUGAAAAUGGGCGGCAAUAAAACAAUGAGGCAAUUGUACCUAGACACCACCCCCAAAUUUAACAUCAAUAUAUAAAACAACGGUACUGUCAUGAUUCAAGGAUCUGAAUUAAAAUGACAGCAGUUUGAGACUAAAACAUGAAGUUGAACAGAAGAAAUCCACUGUGCCCUAUAAAGCCCCAUCUGCUCCCAGUGUGACCGGAUCAGCCUCCCUGACACACACAGUGCCCAGCCCUGCCCAGCCAGCCUGCUCCAGCACACUCACAGCCACUCACAGCCCUGCCACACCCAGAACACCGCUGUCUGUACAGCGCAUCCAGGACUGCCUAUCCCUCCUAGAGGUAGAAUUAAUCUAAAUGAGAGAGAAUAAACUGCCAGAGACAAACAGUAUUCAGAGACACACAACUGAAUUUACCCAAUUCAAAGAGGAAACCCAGACAAAUGGGACAACUAGGAGAGAGCACAACUGAUCCCUGUAAGGAAAAUGAGGCUCUAAGAGCAGAACUGAGGGAUUUAAAGGAGGACCUGGAGCAGAGAGACACGCAGAUCCUCAGUCUCAGAGAUGAGCUGCUCACAGACCACAGACUGCACAUCACAGACUGAGAGCAGCUCAGCCCUCAGAAUCACUGCAGACCACAGACUGCACAUCACAGACUGAGAGCAGCUCAGCCCUCAGAAUCACUACAGACCACAGACUGCACAUCACAGACUGAGAGCAGCUCGGCCCUCAGAAUCACUGCAGACCACAGACUGCACAUCACAGACUGAGAGCAGCUCAGCCCUCAGAAUCACUGCAGACCACAGACUGCACAUCACAGACUGAGAGCAGCUCAGCCCUCAGAAUCACUGCAGACCACAGACUGCACAUCACAGACUGAGAGCAGCUCAGCCCUCAGAAUCACUGCAGACCAUAGACUGCACAUCACAGACUGAGAGCAGCUCAGCCCUCAGAAUCACUGCAGACCACAGACUGCACAUCACAGACUGAGAGCAGUCAGGCAGAGCCACAGGCCAGCCCCAAGCCCAGCACCGCCCCCCCUCAGGACCCCAGCCCUCCAUCAGCAUCACAGCCUGAGAACAGCCGGACAGAGCUACACCCAGCACCUACCCCACCCUGCUCACAGCCUACUGCAGGGAACCAGCCCCCACCACAGCCCCCGAAAACCACCAUACUCAUCGACUCUAAUGGCAAGUUCCUGCAGCACAGACAGAUGUUCCCCACACACAGGGUAGGACAAUUCUGGUGUCCCACUACUGACACAGCACACAAACUCCUUUGUCGUUCCCGACUAGGCGAGCCAGAUAACACACACGGGUAUGACCUGUGUUCUCAGGGAGAGAGGGUUUCACAGACAGUGACAAAGGUGGCCCAAAACGCACGCAGGGAGUUCCCCACAGCCAACAUUACCAUCUCCACUUUCCUGCCUCGAAAGGACGUCCCUUCUGAACUAAUCAAUAACAUAAGCCGAGCCAUCACCACAGACUGCGCUACACUGACGGGAGUUAAAGUCACACAUCACCCCACUCUGACCCCGGAGCACCUAUAUGACCAGGUGCACCUGGACCGGAGCAGCGUCUGGAUGUUUGCAGAGGACCUGACAGGAGCAGCACCCAGCCCUCACGCCAUCAGAGGACCACCACGCCACCACCAGGGAACAGGACGCACUGCCCACCCAUCACAGAGGACGAAUCCACCCAGCAGAGCCCCGCCCAGCACAGCCAACCCAAACCAGAGGAGCCCCCCACUCAGCAGAGCCCCGCCCCACACAGCCUGACCCAGCACACCAUAUAUAUAUAUAUAUAUAUAGCCCUGCGAUGGACUGGCGACCUGUCCAGGGUGUAUUCCUGCCUUUCGCCCAAUGUAUGCUGGGAUAGGCUCCAGCCCCCUGCGACCCUGUUCAGGAUAAGCGGGUUAGGAUAAUGAAUGAAUGAAUGAAUAAAUAUAUAGAGAAAAUAUAAGAGAAAAUAAAAAACAGGUGUGUAUAUGUGUAUGUAUGCAUGUAUGUAUAUGUAUAUAUAUAUGUGUAUAUAUGUAUGUAUGCAUGUAUAUAUGUAUGUGUGUAUGUACAUAUAUGUGUAUACAUAUAUAGCCUAUUUUUUACCACUU
Molecule: long non-coding RNA, 3957 nt
Organism: Conger conger (European conger)
Lineage: Eukaryota; Metazoa; Chordata; Actinopteri; Anguilliformes; Congridae
Exons: 2
Source: RefSeq, a predicted model, not a curated record